GACGAACGCUGGCGGCGUGCCUAAUACAUGCAAGUCGAACGCUGAAGGAGGAGCUUGCUUCUCUGGAUGAGUUGCGAACGGGUGAGUAACGCGUAGGUAACCUGCCUGGUAGCGGGGGAUAACUAUUGGAAACGAUAGCUAAUACCGCAUAAUAGCAGUUAUUGCAUGAUAACUGUUUGAAAGGUGCAAUUGCACCACUACCAGAUGGACCUGCGUUGUAUUAGCUAGUUGGUGGGGUAACGGCUCACCAAGGCGACGAUACAUAGCCGACCUGAGAGGGUGAUCGGCCACACUGGGACUGAGACACGGCCCAGACUCCUACAGGAGGCAGCAGUAGGGAAUCUUCGGCAAUGGACGGAAGUCUGACCGAGCAACGCCGCGGGAGUGAAGAAGGUUUUCGGAUCGUAAAGCUCUGUUGUAAGAGAAGAACGAGUGUGAGAGUGGAAAGUUCACACUGUGACGGUAUCUUACCAGAAAGGGACGGCUAACUACGUG
RNAcentral lists this ribosomal RNA (495 nucleotides) under uncultured bacterium. RNAcentral's name for it is "partial 16S ribosomal RNA". It matches the Rfam family "Bacterial small subunit ribosomal RNA", at positions 28 to 507 of the family's 1533-position model. The record is from RNAcentral.